GUGGGGAAUAUUGGACAAUGGGCGAAAGCCUGAUCCAGCCAUGCCGCGUGUGUGAAGAAGGUCUUCGGAUUGUAAAGCACUUUAAGUUGGGAGGAAGGGCAGUAAGUUAAUACCUUGCUGUUUUGACGUUACCGACAGAAUAAGCACCGGCUAACUUCGUGCCAGCAGCCGCGGUAAUACGAAGGGUGCAAGCGUUAAUCGGAAUUACUGGGCGUAAAGCGCGCGUAAGUGGUUUUGUAAGUUGGAGGUGAAAUCCCCGGGCUCAACCUGGGAACUGCCUCCAAAACUGCAUGACUAGAGUACGGUAGAGGGUAGUGGAAUUUCCUGUGUAGCGGUGAAAUGCGUAGAUAUAGGAAGGAACACCAGUGGCGAAGGCGACUACCUGGACUGAUACUGACACUGAGGUGCGAAAGCGUGGGGAGCAAACAGGAUUAGAUACCCCAGUAGUCC
RNAcentral lists this ribosomal RNA (450 nucleotides) under uncultured bacterium. Its description in RNAcentral is "partial 16S ribosomal RNA". It matches the Rfam family "Bacterial small subunit ribosomal RNA", at positions 354 to 796 of the family's 1533-position model. The record is from RNAcentral.